GAAACGACCCGGCGAGGCAGAGGCUUCGGCGCCGAGGGCAGGCACGGCCGCCGCCCGCCCCGCCCCGCCGCUGUGCCGCGCUGCCGCUGCGCGUCCCGGCGGGGGGGCCGGCCCACCGUCUUGGAGAUGCGGGGCUUACUCAAUUAGUGGGUCAAGAGAAUUCGAGGACUCGUUCCGUCCACUGACUAACCAACGGAACUACGAACUUAUUGACUCGUCAUAAGCUCCCUAGCCCGGAGGUAACGAAAAACUGGAUGUGAUGUUCUCUUACACGACUCUUUCGGUCCCUCCUCGAACGACUGUCACAAUCAGUAGUUUACAAACCAACGUUGGUAUCCCACUACACCCCAACUGCAGGUCCCAGAGCUGGUGUCGUGUCGUCCCGACACUCGUCUCACUUAUCACUUCCUAGGACGAGUGUGUAAACGACAUAAGUAGGGGUGGAGUACACGGGGACAAAAGACCCAAUUGGUGGGGGAAAAGAACAUUGUGACAGUUAGGACAUAUCUAUGUGAGGAAAUGGAAGACCAGAUGCACAUCUAAACAACAGAGUGAUCUCCAAGUAUUAGGUUUCUUAAAAACAAGAAAGACGACACUAUCAUAUAACAACACAAAGAAAUUACCAAUAUCGU
Molecule: ribosomal RNA, 632 nt
Filed under: Triticum aestivum (bread wheat)
Lineage: Eukaryota; Viridiplantae; Streptophyta; Magnoliopsida; Poales; Poaceae
Description: partial small subunit ribosomal RNA
Source: RNAcentral